This is a long non-coding RNA of Homo sapiens (human), 1697 nucleotides long. Ensembl annotates it as RELA divergent transcript. Its record names the gene RELA-DT. NCBI's taxonomy places the organism in Eukaryota, Metazoa, Chordata, Mammalia, Primates, Hominidae. The record is from Ensembl.
AAGUGCACGCCGCGCGGAGGACGAAGAGGCUGCACGCACAGCCGCUGCCGGGGGUCGGGGCCAAGUGCGCGCCUCGCCGAGGACGAAGAGGCUGGCGUGCCCGGUGGCUCGGCUAGCUCCCGGGUCCCGGCCCCGCCUGGAGGAUGCGGCUGUGGGGGAAUGGGAGCGGCCGGACCUCCCAGCCUGACAGUGCAUCAAGAGCUUUGCGGAGCCUACAGCCCGGAUGGGACGACUGAGGCCCUCCCGCUGGCGAGCUGGCCGAGGGCUCGUCCCUCUCCAGCUAAAGCGCCAGCUUACGAUACAGCCAAACUGCCGGCUCUCAUCGGCUGUGGGAGCAGGAGGCCCCCAGGGGUAAAUCCCGGAGCCUCGUCUCUGAAGCCUGGCGCUUGUGUCUCAGAAGAUGGAGUUCCUCUCUUGUGGCCCAGGCUGGAGUGCAAUAGCACCAUCUCGGCUCACUGCAACCUCUGCCUCCCAGGUUCAAGUGAUUCUCCUGCCUUAGCCUCCUGAGUAGCUAGGAUUACAGAUUUAUAGGAGCAUUGUGACUGGACCAAGGACAAAGAAGUUCCCAACCUCCUCAGACCCUCGCUGCUGCCCAGAUGUCUGCCAUGGGGUACUUCUUGACCACACCCUCCUUCUCUUCCCUGCCCUUAACAUAGAAAGAGCCUAAGAUUGUACUGACUUAAAAUGGUACUUUAGAACGCUAGUACACCGUCCUCUCAGUCUUGCUGGCUUUCAGAAUAAAUCAGUAAACCUACUUUUUCUCCCACCAACGCCCCUAUCAGUUGGGAUCCUCUUACCUCGGCCUCCCAGGUAGCUGGGACUAUAAGCACUCACCACCACACACAGCUAAUUAAAAAGAAAACAAUUUUUUGAGGCAGGGUCUCACUCUGUCGCCAUGCUGGAAUGCUGUGGCAUGACUCGUUGCUCACUGCAGCCUCAAACUCCUGGGCUCAAGCAAUCCUCCCACCUUAGCCUCCCAAGUAGCUAGGACUAACAGCGUGCACCACCACACUCAGCUAAUUUCUUUUUUUUAAUUUUUAGUAGACACAAGAUCUUGCUAUGUUGCCAAGGCUGGUCUCGAACCUCUGAGCUCAGGCGAUCCUUCUGUCUCAGCCUCCCAAAGUGUUAGGAUUACAGGCAUGAACUACCAAACCCGGCUGAGUUUUUUAAAAUCUUAAUGAAUGCAUGGAUUUAAAUAUAUUAGCUGUGUUUUAAUCAAGUAUAGUUAUUGAAAUUCAAAUUAUUCGUCUUUGGUUAGGGAGAACUUCUUCAAGUUGGUUGUUCUUCAGUCCUUUUGACACAAUUCCAAUAUAUGAGUCUUGGUGGCUCAUACCUGUAAUCCCAGCACUUUGGAAGGCUGAAUGGGGAAGACUGAUUGAGGCCAGGAGUUUAAGACCAGCCUGGUCAACAUGGCAAGAUCCCUAUGUCUAUUAAAAAAAUAAUUUUAAAAAAGCAAUUACAGUAGCCUGUGAUAGCUUCUUUGCUGUUUGGUAUGAAAAGAUAUUUCUUUUCUUUUUCCUUUUUUUUUUUUGAGAUGGAGUUUCGCUCUUACUGCCCAGGCUGGAGUGCAAUGGUGCAAUCUCGGCUCACUGCAACCUCUGCCUCCCGGGUGCAAGCAAUUCUCCUGCCUCAGCCUCCCAAGUAGCUGGGAUUAUGGGAGUGUGCCACCACGCCCAGCUAAUUUUUGUAUUUUUAGU